This is a long non-coding RNA of Aquila chrysaetos chrysaetos, 1652 nucleotides long. RefSeq lists it as uncharacterized. The record is from RefSeq and is a predicted model, not a curated record. Lineage: Eukaryota; Metazoa; Chordata; Aves; Accipitriformes; Accipitridae. The transcript is spliced from 3 exons.
AACGUUUUUUGCAACCUUUCUGCUUUAUUUUUAGGGAGGGCAUGUGUCCUUGCAAGACACUUCACGUUUACUCUUUUUGCUGCAGUAACAACUCUUGGGCUUUUGGAUGCUGCAAAUGUAUUUUUUUCUUUUUUCUUUCUUUUCUCUCUUUUUUUUUUUUUUUUUUUCCUCUGCUGAUGCAUUGCUGAGAAGAGGGCUGAAGGGUUAAGCCCUCCACAGCAAGGGAAAGUCAAUGCAGCAUCAGUAUGUGUUAUGAAUACCAAGGGCUACACCUAAAGAAGAGAGAGACUUCCUAGAGACCAGAUAAGAAAGAGCUGUAAUUAACUGAAAUCUCUCGGGGAGAGGUGAAAAGGACAGUAGAAAAACUAAGACUAGAAGAGACCAGAGCUAUGAUAUCUGAAAGGAAAUAUUUGAAAACAGGCUACGUUUACCUGGCAGGCUGGAGGAGACGAGGAAAAGACACCACGAAUCUUAACACGACUUCACUAUUUCCAAGUAAAUCCCCUUGACAAGCAAGCUUCCUGCAUUGACAACUAGAGAUCUGCUCUUAAUAAAGCAGCAAUAUAGAGUAUGAAUAGAAAAAAAUCCAUACAAAACUUUGAACAUGGCUUUGGCUGCCAGAUGAGUCAAAUUUCAUGUCCUCAUCCCCAUGGUGCCUGUGAGAUUCUCAGCUGUUCUGGAGAGCCUCACGUUGUCCAGGCGCAGUGUGCAGUGCUGUGGAUUGCUCUUCCACAUCCCCACGUGGCUCUGCCUUGCCGCAUCACACGCGGUGACUGAACUAUGCGGUGGGAGCAUUUUGUGGUGGGAAGUUGUUCUUGGAGACGGGGAAAAUACUGACUGCAUAAAAUCUUAUUUUCUCUCCUGAUACGCAACCUGAUGUCGAUAAAUGACUCUUCUCCCUCCACCCUCCCAGUUCUUCUUGCCCCACUUGAUUUUUCUUAAGCGAUCCUUCUAGUGAUACAGCACACUGUAUAAAAUGCUCCAGUGGUUGCUAGCAAUGCCCCACACUAGUUUUAAUAACAAAAUCUGACAACAAUUUUCACAUUCUUGGCGGAAUAAAGACAAGUGGUAAAGCCUGAGACUGACUGAGACACACCAAGGAAACCUAAACCAAAGUCAGAAAGAUGUUCAAGUAAGUUGAUGUCUGUGGGAUUUUUCUUUUUAACCACCUGUUCUGCUCAGCAUCAUGCUCAGUUUAUUAGCUUCAUCUUACUCUAGUAUAAGUUCAGACUGACCCAUUUCAGACUGUCCUGGCAAAUGCUUUGUAUUGGUGAAGUUGAGCUGGGAAGAUGUGGAAGAAUGCCAAAAUCUCUGCUAGUGAAGGGCUGUCAUUGUUGUGAUAGGAAAGUGUCUAGCUUUUCAAUGUUUCACAAAGUGCUCUUUACUAUUCUUCAUUUCUUAAACCCCAUAAAUAGUUGCUAUGAACAGUGUAGUAAAAAGAUCUGGUACUGGAGGUAACAGAGGUCUUUGAACUAUGGACAGAACUUCUGAAUUGUCUUAAAAUUGUGGACUUGGGAAUCUCCCAGGACUUGUAAGGCUCACAAUAACAUGGUAUUUCUUACUAUAAAAAAAGAAGUCACAGACAAGAAGCCGUUGUCAAUAAUGGUCACAAUUAGGAAACGGGACAACUUUCUGCUCCUCAGAAUACUGCA